Long non-coding RNA from Gasterosteus aculeatus aculeatus (three-spined stickleback), 506 nucleotides. The record is from Ensembl. NCBI's taxonomy places the organism in Eukaryota, Metazoa, Chordata, Actinopteri, Perciformes, Gasterosteidae.
AGGAGCAGCCUUGACCCACACACAGAGACCCCGCAGCGUGUGAGCGAGUACCCACGACAACGGCGCACCUAUUGGAUUGGGUGGGGUGGGGGGGUGUAGAUAGAGGGAGGGAGGGUGAGAGGGUGAGGAAGGGAAUGGUGGUGAGGAAGAGAGAGAGGGAGAGGGGAGGAGAAUUAGACAGACUGACUGACUGACUGAGUGAUUAACAGUGAGAAGAGGUCAGGGUGGAGGGGGGAGGGGGGGCCAGUGUCUUUAUCAUAUUGGUCUGUUGACAGAAAGCAUAGCUGCGUCAUGUGACUCCACUAAUCAGGUCACAAGGAGCAGCUGUGAGCCACAGACAGAUCCUGCAGCGUGUGAUGCUCGUACCUCGACAACGACCCACCUGUGCGGCUGCAAAAGGGGAGACAUGGCAGCUAGUUACACAGAAUCCACACCUCAGACAAAUGGGAACCAGCGAAAAACUAUAACAGCUAUCUAAAAAAUACGGCGUUUGUAUGAGACCCAAG